CCACCACCACCACCACCAAAGCCUUCCAUCAGCUUUGUUUUGCAAGGCAGAAACCGAGGCACAGACGGGCUAAGGGCUUCCCAAGUCAUACAGCACCCCAUUGGUAGGACUACCCCCGCCAUCCAAGGCCCUGGCCUUUGGCCUGCUAGACUCACCUGGGCCUCAUCUAGUGGGGAAGACUUAGCCAAGAGCUGGGUAGAAGAGGAAUGAGUAAGGGAGCAGAGGCUGUGCCAUCAGGCUCCAUUUUCACAGAACAGGCUGAGUAAUGGCCCCCAUAGGUAAAUAGCUUGGUAGCCAUAGUGCAGAGCUACUGCCUCUGGUCCCAAUCUAUGCCCUGCCAAGCCCCAUUUCUGCAGGGAUAUCAUUGCUCAUCUUAAAGUGGUAGGCCAGACCCUGGCAGUGGUGAUGGUGGUGGUGGAAGUGGUGGUGGUGGUGGCAGCUGUGGUGGGGAGGCUCUAACAUCCUGAAAGCCAUCUACAGAGGACAUUGAAGACGGGGUGGGACUAAAGCUCAUGUCCACUGUGGUGGCAGAUCCUCUGGGCAUGUAAGCCUCUGUUGCUUUUGUAGGCCCAGAGCCCUUCUCCUUACACUCCCUGUGACUGGAGUGAAGGAGUGGGUAGUUGGCCUGCAGCUUGGGCGUGGCUUGCUGGGUGGAGGUGGCCAGGCUCAGGGCUGCCUGGGCUAUGACACUUCUGUGAACCUCACUCCCUCUGGGUACCUAUUAGCAUGCUACUCCAAGGGGGGCUGGUAAACGUUAACUGGCCUUCCGGCCUUUAGCAGCCAGGGGGUCAGGGAAAGGUCACUGAAACCUGCAGGAUUGAUAGUCUAGGCAUCAGUCUCUACCCAGUUCUUCCAGGGUGAGAACGAACCACCGGGAGCCCAUUUCCACAGAAAUCCUUUUCAGGGGUCUCUUUACUAUGGGCCCGGUCUUCUCCAGCCUCUAAGUCCACAUCUGGGGUUGGGAAGGUGUGUAGCGAGAGCCAGUGGGCAGACUCUGAAUAGAUGGCAGGCCUUGGAAUUUGGGGGCCUGGCCAGGUGUGACCCCAGUGCCUGACCUCUGUGGCCUGGAGGGUAAAGAGGUGGGAGGUGGGGGUUGGGAGGAGGUUACUGGCUAACAGUUACCAGGACCUUUGAAGCUAUAAAUGCUUCCCCGGGCCCCUGCUGGGAUGGAUGGGGUCAGAGUUCACUGGUUGUCUGGCUCUCCAAGUGGGCUGGAAAUCUUGCAGGCAGAUGGAGUAGGGACCCAUGGAAUGGGACAUUCCCAGAGGUGGAAGGCUCAUGGGAAAUGUUAUUUUUGGUGCUCUGGCUUGGCUCAGGCCCAACGACUUGGAGGCCUUGGGAGGGGCUGAUAGAAGUUGUUUUUGUCACAUACUCACUCGUCUCUCGGGUAUGUUUCCCAAGUUGUGUUUGGUCACACCAAGAUCGGCUUCUGAAUGAUGGAGACCUUGCAGUCGGCCUCUGCCUGACCUGGUAGGUUUUUUUUAGCUGACCUGUCGUGGACUGCUCAAAGUUUCUGGUCCCACUCAAUGCUCUUUCUUGCCUGGUACCCCGCCCUCCAAUCCCCGUCUUAUUUCUUCUGCGUGCCUGGGCCUUCCCCUUUCAGUGCGAACCCUGUUUACCCGGUUACGUCACCUCUUUCAGGAAGCUUUCUUGGAGUGGAUUCUGACACUGCUCAUGCAUUAACUCUCUCAGCUAAGACUGAAGACUAUGGGGCCGUGCCCGUUCUUCUGGGAAUGUGUCACUUCACAUAAAGGCAGUCCCGAGUCCUUCCUUCCAGAAGCUUAUCUUCCCCAAGACAGUAGUAGCUGUCAUUUAGAUAGCUCUCAGCUUGAAAAAGUUUUGUGUACCUGCAGACCACCUCUACGAGGUGGGAACAAACUCCACAGUACACGUGAUGGUCCUUUAUUCUGAUUUGGCCACAGAUCCAUGAGAGAGGUAAUAUUUCCCUCCUUUUACCAAUGGGGGAAAAAGUCAAGACUGACAGAGGUCAAGACCACAGAGCCAGUAAGCAGUGGUGUGAAGUUGGUGAACCCCGGCCUGCCCAAGUACAAGGCAAGGAGGAAGAACACGGUCGGGUCUCCUGAUUCAUUGUGUCUCAAUGGGUCCAGUAGACUGGAUAACGGGGUACAUAUGAAAAAAACGGGGAGCAAGAGGAGUCAACAUUCAGGCCUUCAGCACCCGAAUGGACUAAGCUUACUGAAGUCACCGGCAGGUAACUUGAUCAACGGCUGAGACAGCGCCCAUGGUGGGAAUUAAGCAGUGCCUGAGCCGCAGAGGCGUGGGGAAAUGACCUUGAGUGACUGUGGCAUGCGGGCAGCCUUGUUUCACAUGAGGACAUCGCCUGCUCUGCAUCUGCCUUGCACACUGAAGGCUGUGUGCGUCCAGUGUCUGCAGGGUCGAUGGUGACAUUUCUCUUCCAGCCUCUUGCUCCAGAGGCGGGAGCCAUGUGUCAACAGCCAGGCCUCAGGCAGAACGGCAGAACUCCUGGUCCUGCUCUGGCUGACUGGUGACAGAUAGGGCAGCUUACAGUAGAGAAGGGAGUGGGUGGCGUUGCUCUCCGGUGUUUCCAGCCCUCCACCACCCUAGCUGCAAAAGACCAUCCCAGCAAAUGAUCUGAUCUGUUCUGAGGGUCAAGGGUCACAGUUGAGAGACGCACGGCCAGACAGGUGUCUAGGAGCCAUAUGCUGACACCAGCCAGUUCCAGAAGGUGAUACUGCUCUGUCCAGGAGCCAGUGGCACAGGAGAAACUUGAGGUCUUUUGGUUUGAUGAGCAUUGUUAGCUCUGACUUCAGAUAAGCAGAGCAAACAAGCCACAGUCCAAGUGGGAACUGGUUCUGCCCCUUUGUUUUGCUUUUCUAAGUCAUCAAAGCCAAGUUUCUCAAGCCUGAAUACCUCUGCUUUCUGAUGGUCCCAUUGUGUUUUUAUUGUGCUUCUGACAAGUGCUAACAGACCACUUUCAAAGUGUGUUGAUGUUUCGGUUGUUUUUGAAUGGCCCUUCUGUUUUCCUGCAUCUGGGCAGCAUUAGCCUCUGGCCCCAGGGAACGACUGGGUUCCUAUAAAAAGUGUACCAGGUCCCCUUAUGUGGAAAAACUGGCCAGGACAAGAUCAGACACCCAUCUGGGCAGGAACAUACAGCACAAAUGUGAACACCAUUCACCAGCUGCAGAAGCCAGGUCAGGCUGGGAAGAGGCCAGUGAGCCUUGCCAAAUGGACUGUGGGUGUUCUCUUUCUGUGUGUGGACACAUUGUGAUCUUCCUGAGGGAGGAUACCAAUAAGAAGAGUGCCUGGCACUAGGCAAUGCCACCAAAUGUUUGUUGUCCCUCUGUCCUCUUAGCUCAAGUUGCUUGUCAAUUACCAACAUAAGAGGCUCCUGAGAACUGGCCACACAGGGACCAGAGUUGGGACACACAGGACAGUCUAGAGUUCAGAGGGUUUACUAGGAGAGAGAGGCAGACCUUAUCUGUUUGAUAUCUGAGCUUUCUUGAGGGAUCUUUUGCUCUAUUGCUUGAAGGGCUAAAGCAGGGAGCGGGUAGGGCAGGGUGGGCAUGUUUCCUCCAGAUUCUAUCUAGGGGUUGUAUGGCUGGCUCGUUCCUUUGUGCUUCUGUUGUGUGUCCUGCCUUCCCUUCACCAUAACACUUUAGGCUAAGCAAAGUCAGGUUCAAAAUGGCUGCCUCCAGUGGAAGAGUCUUUGGGUAUGGACGAGGCUUCCAGGAAGUGAGCCACACGUAUCAUCUCGCUCAUUUAAUGCUAUCCGCAGACUCUCUCGCUUGUCCGAAGGCUAUCUUCAUUUUUUUUUUUCUUUUAAGCUGGCUGAGUUUCCCUUUAGCUCCAACCUCACCAGCUCAUGAACUGUCUGUCCUCCCUUGAGUUUCCAGAGUUGCAGGGCUCUCCCCUAACUGACUUCUAGUCUACUCUGGGACUCAUGUUAACGAGAUCCCAUCUUUAUUCCUUUACCCCGAUGCAUCAAUCCCUGCUCCCAUCCCCACCCCCUGUUGAAUUUAUACUAGGAGUCAGAGGAGCUGAGACUGGCUGGUGCUAAGCGAUCUGGUGCUACUGUUAGAUAAGCAGGUCGCCCUGAUGAGGGAAACACUAGCGGUUCUAAAACAGGACUAUGGAGUCUCUUACACCUGCAGUAGAUAUUUAUAUCUAUAAACACAUCGGGGUGGGCAGGGAUUGCCCUGUCUGUGUUCAUAAGGCCUUAGACCUCUUGAGUCUCCCUUCAUCUAUGGGAGGCCCUCCCUGGCUUUUGCUUCAAAAUGUAAAUUAUUGCAUCAGUCAGCUUUCUGUUACUGUAACAAAUAUCUGGACGAUCAACAUAUGAAGAGAAAAGAUUCACUUCUGUGCCUAGUUUUGGUCAUAGACUAAAAACCUACGGAGGACAGGCAACGCAGUAGCCAGCACUUGGACCUCGACUUACUUAGCCUCCCAAUUUCCACUAUGGCAAGAAUUUUGUUGGCCCCUGUUCCUUCAAGAACAAGAAAACAAAUGUAGACAGCUCUAGAGCCUGACAGGCUGAGAUGGUGGGUCACAGAGAAGUGGAACAUGGCAUCCAUGAAGCAAGAGUAUCCUCAGGAGGGUAUUUCUUGAGUCUCUGGAUGGGCCUGGUAGAGAACCGUGUGGUCUUAUGUGUGUAUAUGCUUGUGAACACCUGUCACUUUGAGAAAUUUCCAACUCUAUGUAGCAGUUUCCUUCUCACCAGGGUCUCUCCUUGUCUGAAACUUUAAUUUUAUAGCUGUGGCUGUUAAUGCAUCAUGGGUACCACCGUCAAUAAAUAUUUAUUGAGCUUUCA
This 4789-nucleotide small RNA is filed under the name Rattus norvegicus (Norway rat). RNAcentral describes it as "uncharacterized LOC108348412". Lineage: Eukaryota; Metazoa; Chordata; Mammalia; Rodentia; Muridae. The record is from RNAcentral.